RNAcentral lists this transfer RNA (74 nucleotides) under Nocardioides sp. Its description in RNAcentral is "tRNA-Leu". It matches the Rfam family "tRNA". Rfam says of the family: Transfer RNA (tRNA) molecules are approximately 80 nucleotides in length. Their secondary structure includes four short double-helical elements and three loops (D, anti-codon, and T loops). Further hydrogen bonds mediate the characteristic L-shaped molecular structure. tRNAs have two regions of fundamental functional importance: the anti-codon, which is responsible for specific mRNA codon recognition, and the 3' end, to which the tRNAs corresponding amino acid is attached (by aminoacyl-tRNA synthetases). tRNAs cope with the degeneracy of the genetic code in two manners: having more than one tRNA (with a specific anti-codon) for a particular amino acid; and 'wobble' base-pairing, i.e. permitting non-standard base-pairing at the 3rd anti-codon position. The record is from RNAcentral. Lineage: Bacteria; Bacillati; Actinomycetota; Actinomycetes; Propionibacteriales; Nocardioidaceae.
GCCCCGGUAUCCCAACCGGUAGAGGAAGCGGUCUUAAAAACCGCACAGUCUGGGUUCGAACCCCAGUCGGGGCA